AGCGAACGCUGGCGGCAGGCCUAACACAUGCAAGUCGAACGGCAGCACCGUAAGAGCUUGCUCUUACGGGUGGCGAGUGGCGGACGGGUCAGGUAUAUAUCGGAAUCUACUUUUUCGUGGGGGAUAACGUAGGGAAACUUACUCUAGUACCGCAUACGACCCACCGGGGAAAGCAGGGGAUCUUCUGACCUUGUGGGAUUGAAUGAGCCGAUGUGGGAUUGGCUAGUUGGGUGGGUAAAGGCCCACCAAGGGGGCGAUCGGAAGCCCGUGUGAGAGGAUGGUCGGCGACAUGGGAGGUGAGGCAGGGUCGAGACGCCUGCGGUAGGCAGCAGUGGGGAAUGUUGGGCAAUGGGGGCGAGCCUUAUACAGCGAUAGCGCGUGGGUGGAGAAGGCGUUCGGGUUGUAAAGCCGUUUUGUUGGGAGAGAAAAGCAGUCGGUUAAUACGCCGCGGUAGUGACGGUACCCGGAGAAGAAGCACCGGCUAACUUCGUG
RNAcentral lists this ribosomal RNA (492 nucleotides) under uncultured bacterium. RNAcentral describes it as "partial 16S ribosomal RNA". It matches the Rfam family "Bacterial small subunit ribosomal RNA", at positions 30 to 507 of the family's 1533-position model. The record is from RNAcentral.